GCGGACAUGGAUGUCCGUGGUUCCAACUUCAAGAGUUUGCGCUUGCCACAAACUCUAAGCUGAAAAUCGGACACGGAUGUCCGAUUUUCAGCGAAC
Small RNA from Treponema denticola ATCC 35405, 96 nucleotides. It matches the Rfam family "TD-2 RNA". From Rfam's summary of the family: non coding RNA found in Treponema denticola The record is from Rfam. Lineage: Bacteria; Pseudomonadati; Spirochaetota; Spirochaetia; Treponematales; Treponemataceae.